AUGCUCACUUCGGCAGCACAUAUACUAAAAUUGGAAUGAUACAGAGAAGAUUAGCAUGGUCUCGGGCAAGGGCGACAUGCAAAUUAGUAAAGCAUUCCAUAUUUUU
Molecule: small nuclear RNA, 106 nt
Organism: Marmota marmota marmota (Alpine marmot)
Lineage: Eukaryota; Metazoa; Chordata; Mammalia; Rodentia; Sciuridae
Source: Ensembl